GUUUGUGGAAACACCACGUAAAUUUAUUACUGCACUAUUUAUUACUGUAUUAUUUAUUAAUUUAUUUUGCAGUAAUAAAUUUACGUGGUGUUUCCACAAACAAAACUAU
Molecule: non-coding RNA, 109 nt
Organism: Paramuricea clavata
Lineage: Eukaryota; Metazoa; Cnidaria; Anthozoa; Malacalcyonacea; Plexauridae
Source: the annotation of a GenBank genome assembly